UACAGAGGUGGCAAGCGUUGUUCGGAAUUACUGGGCGUAAAGGGUGCGUAGGUGGCGGGGUAAGUCAGGUGUGAAAUCUCGAGGCUCAACCUCGAAACUGCACUUGAUACUGCCUUGCUUGAGUACUGGAGAGGAGAUUGGAAUUUACGGUGUAGCAGUGAAAUGCGUAGAUAUCGUAAGGAAGACCAGUGGCGAAGGCGAAUCUCUGGACAGUUACUGACACUGAGGCACGAAGGCCAGGGGAGCAAACGGG
This 253-nucleotide ribosomal RNA is filed under the name uncultured bacterium. RNAcentral's name for it is "partial 16S ribosomal RNA". It matches the Rfam family "Bacterial small subunit ribosomal RNA", at positions 524 to 776 of the family's 1533-position model. The record is from RNAcentral.